This 566-nucleotide unclassified non-coding RNA is filed under the name Aspergillus tabacinus. RNAcentral's name for it is "sequence contains 18S rRNA gene, ITS1, 5.8S rRNA gene, ITS2, 28S rRNA gene". The stretch from base 198 to 351 matches the Rfam family "5.8S ribosomal RNA". Lineage: Eukaryota; Fungi; Ascomycota; Eurotiomycetes; Eurotiales; Aspergillaceae. The record is from RNAcentral. RNAcentral also lists the same sequence under 1 other name.
GUAACAAGGUUUCCGUAGGUGAACCUGCGGAAGGAUCAUUACUGAGUGCGGGCUGCCUUCGGGCGCCCAACCUCCCACCCGUGACUACCUAACACUGUUGCUUCGGCGGGGAGCCCUCUCGGGGGCGAGCCGCCGGGGACUACUGAACUUCAUGCCUGAGAGUGAUGCAGUCUGAGUCUGAAUAUAAAAUCAGUCAAAACUUUCAACAAUGGAUCUCUUGGUUCCGGCAUCGAUGAAGAACGCAGCGAACUGCGAUAAGUAAUGUGAAUUGCAGAAUUCAGUGAAUCAUCGAGUCUUUGAACGCACAUUGCGCCCCCUGGCAUUCCGGGGGGCAUGCCUGUCCGAGCGUCAUUGCUGCCCAUCAAGCCCGGCUUGUGUGUUGGGUCGUCGUCCCCCCCGGGGGACGGGCCCGAAAGGCAGCGGCGGCACCGUGUCCGGUCCUCGAGCGUAUGGGGCUUUGUCACCCGCUCGAUUUAGGGCCGGCCGGGCGCCAGCCGACGUCCAACCAUUUUUCUUCAGGUUGACCUCGGAUCAGGUAGGGAUACCCGCUGAACUUAAGCAUAUCA